UACGAAGGGGCUAGCGUUGUUCGGAAUUACUGGCGUAAAGCGUGCGCAGGCGGCUUCUCAAGUCAGGGGUGAAAGCCAGAGCUCAACUCUGGAAUUGCCUUUGAGACUGAGUGGCUUGAGUACGAGAGAGGUGAGUGGAAUUCCCAGUGUAGAGGUGAAAUUCGUAGAUAUUGGGAAGAACACCGGUGGCGAAGGCGGCUACACUGGCUCGGUAACUGACGCUCAUGCACGACAGCGUGGGGAUCAAACAGG
RNAcentral lists this ribosomal RNA (252 nucleotides) under uncultured bacterium. RNAcentral's name for it is "partial 16S ribosomal RNA". It matches the Rfam family "Bacterial small subunit ribosomal RNA", at positions 524 to 776 of the family's 1533-position model. The record is from RNAcentral.